RNAcentral lists this ribosomal RNA (326 nucleotides) under uncultured eukaryote. Its description in RNAcentral is "partial 18S ribosomal RNA". It matches the Rfam family "Eukaryotic small subunit ribosomal RNA", at positions 1470 to 1796 of the family's 1831-position model. The record is from RNAcentral.
CCCUUAGAUGUUCUGGGCCGCACGCGCGCUACACUGAUGCAUUCAACAAGCCUAGCCUUGACCGAGAGGUCCGGGUAAUCUUUGAAACUGCAUCGUGAUGGGGCUAGAUUAUUGCAAUUAUUAAUCUUCAACGAGGAAUGCCUAGUAAGCGUGAUUCAUCAAAUCGCGUUGAUUACGUCCCUGCCCUUUGUACACAUCGCCCGUCGCUCCUACCGAUUGAAUGUGUUGGUGAGGAGCUCGGAUUGGCAGCAGUUGGUGGUUCGCCACCGGCUAUUGCUGAGAAGUCCUCCAAACCGCCCCAUUUAGAGGAAGGAGAANUCGUAACA